This 494-nucleotide ribosomal RNA is filed under the name uncultured bacterium. RNAcentral's name for it is "partial 16S ribosomal RNA". It matches the Rfam family "Bacterial small subunit ribosomal RNA", at positions 28 to 507 of the family's 1533-position model. The record is from RNAcentral.
GACGAACGCUGGCGGCGUGCUUAACACAUGCAAGUCGAACGGUGAAACGCCUUCCUUUUUUGUGUGUUUUUAUGAGUGGCGAACUGAUUAGUAACACGUUAGUAUCCUUCUCCGUUUUUCUUAAUAACCGCAUAAAAGUGUUACUAAUACGGGAUAUUUUGGAUCGCUUGCAUGAUAGGUGUGGGAAGGUUAUUGUGUCGGUUAUAGAUGGGCUCGCGGACUAUCAGCUUGUUGGUGGGGUGAUGGCCUACCAAGGCGGUGACGAGUAGCCGACCUGAGAGGGUCGACGGCCAUAGUGGGAAGGAGACAUCGCGCAGACUACUACGGGCAGCAGUAGUGGAGAAUAUGGCACAAGCGGAGGAAGGAUGAUGCAGCGACGCGUGGUGAAGGAUGGAGUUCUGAUGGUUGAGAACUUCUUUUGGGAGUGAAGAAGGCUUGAAUUGUUUGUGGGUGGCUUGACGGUACCUAGAUAAAAAGCCACGGCUAACUACGUG